ACCUACGGGGGGCAGCAGUUGGGAAUAUUGGACAAUGGAGGAAACUCUGAUCCAGUGACGCCGCGUGAAGGAAGAAGGUCUUCGGAUUGUAAACUUAUUUUAUCAGGGAAGAAAAAAAUGACUGUACCUGAAGAAGAAGCACCGGCUAACUACGUGCCAGCAGCCGCGGUAAUACGUAGGGUGCAAGCGUUAUCCGGAUUUACUGGGUGUAAAGGGCGAGUAGACGGCGUUGCAAGUCAGAUGUGAAAAUCCGGGGCCCAACCCCGGAACUGCAUUGGAAACUGUAUAUCUAGAGUGUCGGAUAG
Molecule: ribosomal RNA, 305 nt
Filed under: uncultured bacterium
Lineage: Bacteria
Description: bacterial SSU rRNA
Rfam family: Bacterial small subunit ribosomal RNA
Source: RNAcentral